This is a long non-coding RNA of Oncorhynchus gorbuscha (pink salmon), 1823 nucleotides long. RefSeq lists it as uncharacterized. The record is from RefSeq and is a predicted model, not a curated record. Lineage: Eukaryota; Metazoa; Chordata; Actinopteri; Salmoniformes; Salmonidae. The transcript is spliced from 2 exons.
AACUUGUAUCUAACUAUUGUUGUGUCUCUCUGUGUUUCAGAUCUUCUAUGACCUGGUCAGGCAAAUCAACAGGAAAACCCCAGUACCUGGGAAGACACGGAAAAAGUCCAACUGUCAGCUCCUCUAAUACACAGCUGCUCUGUCGCACUGAGCCAGGUCUGAUUUGCUGCUGUCUCUCUCAGCAGUGCCAGCAUUCCGACGUUACUAAAACCUAACAUGGAAUGGACUUUCCUGUGUGGUGACGCCCCUUUAACAUCAACAACCAACAAACAAACCGACCAACGGAUUCAAAGCUACAAUACAUCCGUUUUUACACACAGAUUAACCAUUGUCACUCUCCAGUGUCACGAGAACAAGAUUUCUACUUAGAAAUAUAGAUAUUCCAACUGUAUCAAACUGAAAUGGAAAAAUUAAGUUCGUAAAAUGAAAUAGGUAAAUCAGUCAAUAUGAACCAAAAUAAAAUCCCGAUCCCCAAACACACAGUGUUAUUGCUAACGGAGACAGUAGCCGUAGAAACGGAUGUCUAACCAGAAUGUGCACGUUGCCACGGUGAUGCGGUAUUUAUAAGCACCUCUAUAUUAGCCAGAGAGAAAAAGACAAAGUCCCAAAGAGGCACCUAUAUAGUUCAGUUCACACAGAUAAACUUGCUCCUGGGGGUUUAUUUUCUAACUUUUUUUUUUUUUCCUUCGAUCAUUCAACAUCAUUUCUCUGUCUUUUUCUGUCUUUUUUUUAAAUUAAAUGACUAGUUUUGUCUCUACUGAGAGAUGCUAUACUGCGACAGCUAUUGAUAUGAGUUCUAUUUGAGGAGUAAACCUGUGGGUACAACAGUUAUUAUUAUUAUUAUAUGUGAGUUUUAUUUGAGGAGUAAACCUGUGGAUACAACGUGUAAAAACAACGUGUAAAAAGAGAAAAAAAAAGUAUAAUGUUUUUUCAGUAACUAUCAUAUUGUCUUUUAGCCCGAUGAUGUUGCCUUCAAAUAGGUUUUUUUCUUUCUUUCUGGAGAAUCUAACUAUGAUCCAAUCAUCCUUCUAUGUCUUGCCUGGGUUUUCUUGCUUCUGAAAUGGCACCCAAGUGUAUUAUAUUUGACCAGAGCCCAAUGGUUUCCCUAUUGGUUUCCCUGUGGGUUUCCCUAUUGGUUUCCCUGUGGGUUUCCCUAUUGGUUUCCCUGUGGGUUUCCCUAUUGGUUUCCCUAUUGGUUUCCCUAUUGGUUUCCCUAUUGGUUUCCCUAUUGGUUUCCCCCCUAUUGGUUUCCCCUAUUGGUUUCCCUAUUGGGUUUCCCUAUUGGUUUCCCUAUUGGUUUCCCUAUUGGUUUCCCUAUUGGUUUUUCUAUUGGUUUCCCUAUUGGUUUUUCUAUUGGUUUCCCUAUUGGUUUUUCUAUUGAUUUCCCUAUUGGUUUUCCCUAAUGUUUUUUCUAUUGGUUUCCCUAUUGGUUUUCCCUCUUGGUUUCCCUAUGGGCCCUGGUCAAAAGUAGUACACUAUAUAAGGAAUUAGGGUGCAAUUUUGGAGGCAGCCCUUGUGUUGUUUACAAAGAUGUUUGUACAGUGGGGUUUUUCAAUUGGGGUUGUGGUCAAAGAGGGACUGGACAUUUUAACAAGCGACCAAACUUCUGAGACACCAAUGGCCGAAGUGACUGGGCGAUCCUCAUCAUGUUUUUUUUAUUUUUUAAACUUUAUCCUUCCAAGGCCGUCUCUCAUUGGUUGGUUUGUCCAGUUAGCCAAUCCCCUCUCAUGGAAUCUGCGAUCUACAACAGGAAGUAUAGAUUUUUUUUUUUUUAAUGAGGGUUUUUAAUACAAAAAAAAUAAAUAAAAUAAUGUCAUUGGUGA